UACGUAGGGUGCGAGCGUUAAUCGGAAUUACUGGGCGUAAAGCGUGCGCAGGCGGUUUUGUAAGCCAGAUGUGAAAGCCCCGGGCUUAACCUGGGAAUGGCAUUUGGGACUGCAAGGCUGGAGUGUGGCAGAGGAGACUGGAAUUCCUGGUGUAGCAGUGAAAUGCGUAGAUAUCAGGAGGAAUACCGAUGGCGAAGUCAGGUCUCUGGGCUGACACUGACGCUCAUGCACGAAAGCGUGGGGAGCAAACAGG
This 253-nucleotide ribosomal RNA is filed under the name uncultured bacterium. Its description in RNAcentral is "partial 16S ribosomal RNA". It matches the Rfam family "Bacterial small subunit ribosomal RNA", at positions 524 to 776 of the family's 1533-position model. The record is from RNAcentral.